AUCCCAGUGUGCCGUGAACGUGAGACUUCU
RNAcentral lists this non-coding RNA (30 nucleotides) under Homo sapiens (human). The record is from RNAcentral. Lineage: Eukaryota; Metazoa; Chordata; Mammalia; Primates; Hominidae.